ACACAGAGAGUCAGGGCCAGCCAAAUGGAAAUUGUCUGCUCAUAGGAGAAGCCCCGGGGCCAUACUCUGAAAGAGGUAGCUUGGCGACAGACAAAUUUUCUAAGAGAGACAGUAUGGGGAGAAGAAAAGGCAAAGGUCCAAGACUCAAAAAAUGAAUGAAUGUUAAAACAUCAGAAGAGCAAGAUAAACGAGUUAAGAAGAUGGCACAGGAGCCGCAGAGAGGUGGAAGAUGGCUUGGAAGAGUGAAAACAGUUUUGCUGAGGACAGGUAAGGCACUGAAUGGAUUUCAGAAAGUCAUAGGGCCUGGGUGGAAGCCCCAACACAACAGCAGAGUGGAAUCAUGGAUUGGCUAUUCUAUAAUCCAUUCGCCGUGACUGAGGGUGAGAAGUGGAAUUCUAUUUGAGGCUAUAUUUGAGAGCCAUCUUUGAAAAUGAAGAAGUAGUUUGGGCUCUGGGUAUCUUUUCUUUCUGAAGUAGGUGCAUCUGAGAAAAAGGGCAGAGACCUCCCCAAAGGUCAAACAGAAGCAAGGCAGCAGGCAGCAUUGCAGGGGAGGCAACUGCUGGGAAAGACACAGCAAGGAAGAGCUAUUAUGGGAUGCCUCUCUGUGAGGAGAGAUGAGGUGGGGAUGGUCCAUGAAGAUGAAUGACUGCUUCCUAAGACACUGUGGCGAGGAGGCUGUGGAAAGAUGGCAGCAGCAGACUGUGGAGAGAAGUCAAUUCACUGUGAGUGGUCAGACAAUACCUGAACCAAGAAGACACAUGGGACAACCUCUUGGGAACAGAAAGUUCAGAAAAGGGCUAAGAAAUAGGAUGGAGAUAGGGAUACUCAAUGAUCUAGUCAUAAGGGAUCAAAAUGGGAAUGCAAUUAGGAAGUAGAAGGCCUGAGAUAGACAGCAGCCACUGGGAUUGGAAGCAAUUUUAGGAUGAUUUCCCAAAGGGUAGAGAUGUUCCAACAAUAGCUUGAUGAUAAAUUUUGUAUUUUUUCAGGGCAGCUUGGCACUUCCCCAGGUAAUCCAUUCUCAGAGUUUCUGUUCAAUCAAAAACUGUAGCUUCUUUGGUUUAGGAGUUUCCUGAGCCUGUCUCAGGGCAAUAACGCCUUCUGGGUUAACUGGAGACUUCGUCAGAGACAGAUGGGAGCUAACUCCAAAGAGUCAUCAUGAUAACUGCGGUUGUUCAGAUUCUUUAUUUCUGGGCAUCACAUAGAAUUUAGAUUGGGACUCCUUUUCUAUCUAACUGAGGGAUGGGAAUCAUAAUUGCAUAUUUAAUUUUGUCAUUAGAA
This 1278-nucleotide long non-coding RNA is filed under the name Homo sapiens (human). RNAcentral describes it as "long non-coding RNA NONHSAT212549.1". The record is from RNAcentral. Lineage: Eukaryota; Metazoa; Chordata; Mammalia; Primates; Hominidae.